UAUUAUGAAGUUCGAAUAUAUCUUUUGUUUUGCGUUAACAAACUAAGACUAAAUUCUAAUUUAUUUUGUGUUUUUCUCUAAUAAAAAAUAUAAGUUUAAAUUUAUAUUUCAGUAAUAAGAUUCAAUGCAUAUUCAUUAAGUAUUUCCCCAGACGAAUGGCAGAAAAAUGUGUUAUAUGCAUCUCAUUCUGGACUUAUUUUCAAGUGUUAACACCAACAAAAUGGGAGAGAUUAGAAAAUGUUUGCAUAUGUUUUUUUUCAAAAAUAAAAUAAAUUGUGCCCUUAUAUUGAAUUCAACCACUACGAGGUCGUGAAUAUUAUAUGCAUCACUUUUGUAUAUGCUUUUCCUUUUAAUAUUUAAAGUGAUAAUCUAUUAUGGUGCUUGGUAAUUUUGCAGGAAGUUUUCAUAUUUUUGUAAUUAGAGGACUUGCGAGAGAUAGUGAAAUCCAAGAGGGUAGUGUUCUGGAAGCUGAAGUUGAGCUGUUCAAGAAGUUUUUAGAGACAAGCAGUGCUUCCAUAGCAACGCUAAGGAAAUUGGCUUCAUUAAGGAUCUCCUCCGGCGUUUCCAUCAAAGCAGAGAAGAAGAAAACAUGACGGUGAAGAGGGGAAGCAUGACGGAAGAAGGAGAAGAGGGUGGAGACAGAGGUGGCUGUGACAGAUAAGAAGGCUAGAUCGAGAGAGAAGGGAAGAGGAGACAGGAACUACAAGUUCGACUACACCUAUCAGUAGCACAAGUUCUGUUAACAAUUCAAAUGCUCAAAGAUGAGGUGCAAGCUUUGUUUGAUGAUGCUGGAAAGCGUAUUGAUUUAGCCACACCCUUGCCACACCCUAUACCGUACAGGUUGUACAAGAUUUGGUAUUAAUGAUGGGAAACUUUUGAGGUGCUCAUACUACCGAAAUUUGGUUGGAGCCUGGAUGACAGAUAUAUCGUGAUGUAUGAUAGGGUGCCGGAGUUUAGAUAAAGUGUGAUGGAAUUCAAAGGUCUCAAGAACAAAGCUCAUCCAUUCCUAUUCACCUGCUUCUAUGAAAUUGGUUUAUUCCAAUGCACCGGAUGGGAAUGAACCAUUGGCUUUGGACAUGGGAAGCAUGGGGAAGGUCAGGUAUAGAUUAAUGGAUAGAGCAUACGAAGAUACUGGAAUGCUGCGAAUGAAGGAUGGUUGUUAGGGAUGGUCUUUUGAUGUCUAAUGCAGUACUAGAGUAUGCGUGUAAUGUUCUUCUUAAGAACAUCUGAGGUGGUGACCUACAAUUGCAAGUAAAAUUUUUAGUCUCUAUAAUUCUUUGUUGUGGUCUCCGAUGGAGUCUUUGAUUAUGCCAACAAUGUCCUCCAGGAACAAUUUUCCUGACAAUGCUCAAGGUGUGAAAUCUGCUGCAAAGUGCUUUGACUGAAGUUGCACCUGCAAAAGCGGCGGCAGAAUUUACAAUGUGAAUAUCAGAAGUAAAUCCUUCUCUUGCUAAGGAGGCAUUACAGGAAUUCACGAAUAUGAUAACCAAUCUAGAAAUCAAACAAGAAGAUUUGAAGUUGAAAGUAAAGCGCAGGAUAAAAUAGUAGAACAUGAUGUUUUUUGAGCAAAUCAUUCGUUCUAGGAGACGGUUUAUGCAAGCUUGAGUGUUAAAGUUGAAAACAAGAGAACUUAAGUAAUAAAGUAUGGAUUAUG
This is a long non-coding RNA of Arachis stenosperma, 1654 nucleotides long. RefSeq lists it as uncharacterized. The record is from RefSeq and is a predicted model, not a curated record. Lineage: Eukaryota; Viridiplantae; Streptophyta; Magnoliopsida; Fabales; Fabaceae. The transcript is spliced from 12 exons.